Prunus mume (Japanese apricot) is the source of this 621-nucleotide non-coding RNA. NCBI's taxonomy places the organism in Eukaryota, Viridiplantae, Streptophyta, Magnoliopsida, Rosales, Rosaceae. The record is from RefSeq and is a predicted model, not a curated record.
AAGCAUAAACAACCAAAGACUGCAGAACAAAGGAGGUUUGAAGAACUUAUAGCUUAUUCUGCUAGCCAAGCAGCACCAAAUGUUGACUUUUUGAAGGAACCGAACCCUCCUGUUCCUGCUGGUGAAUGUAUGUAUUGUUUAAAGGUGGAUGAUCACAUUACACAACUGUGCCCCUACAAGUCUGUUGUCCCAAAGAAUGCAAUUCUUGGCAAGGGUUGUUCGGUUCAGUGUAUUGUAUGCGGAUGUAGGUUUAGAGACUCAUGUUGUGGCAAAUGCCGCCAAACCCGUGGACGUGCAAUCCUCAUGGAUUGUAGAAUCUGUGGGAAGCCAUAUGACCACUGGCCUGAUAUGUGCCCGCAACGCAAUUUGAAUUCUUCUUUUACGUGCGACCCUUAUACUGGUUAUUUUUCUUUCAAGGCUUGUCCUCCAAAAGAGUAGAUAAUAGAGAAUGAAUUGUACUCUAGAGUUAAAGCAAAAGAGAAAGGAGUGCUUUUUUAUGUUGUUUGCCAAAAAUGGGGCACGUUUUUGUUUAGCCAUGCAUCCUAUCAUUUAGAUGCCUACAACUUGUAUUGUUUUUAUCGCAAAUUAAUUGCAAUUUGCAGCAGAUGCAUUGUCAUUGUC